This 1471-nucleotide long non-coding RNA is filed under the name Gallus gallus (chicken). Its description in RNAcentral is "long non-coding RNA NONGGAT003209". The record is from RNAcentral. Lineage: Eukaryota; Metazoa; Chordata; Aves; Galliformes; Phasianidae.
CCCGUGGGAGCAGUUCGGGGCCCGGCACGACUUCCGCAUGGACACCUCCUCCUCGGGGUGCAGAGUGAUGAUGUCACAGGUCGCGGCGCUCAGGCAGUGAGCAGUCUCGUGCGCUCUGAGGCGCAGUUGCUAUGGCGUCAUCGUCACGCAUGUGCUGUCGCCGUGGCGGCAGUUCAAAGUGCGCCCUGCGUGAGAGGGCGCACUGUCGCCAUGGCAACGCGGCCUGCACACAGGACCUGAAGCCUGAGUGGGCCUCGUGGGGCAGAGGGGUGGCGAAGAAGAUGUGUGGGGGAACGGAGAACCCUCAGGGAUCUUCUGGGGAGGUACCCGAGGAGGAAAAUGCAGACCUAACCACUGUGCCUGGCAGUAUCCCUCCUCGCCUUGGCUGUUUUUGCAGGACAUCUGUGGCACCCUCAACAUCACUGCUUUGGGCAGCUGUUCUCCUCUUGCUUACAACCUCAGUAGUCUCUGAGUGCUUUAUCACAUGUUAUGACUGGGAGCGCACAUUUAUAACUUUAAGUUAUCAGACGGCUCCUGUAUUCCUCCUUAGCAAUUUUUAGGUCCGUGGCAGUCCAGCUAGCCUUGAGAGCUGGCUGUGGACUGAAUCUCCUAUAUGCGUCCGAGUGGUUAGUAAGCAAAUACAGUGAAGUUAGGAAUGACUCCUUUUGGAGUGAGGAUGCACAGCCUUGGACCAUUCAAUACCAACAAGUUCUUUACUAUGAGAAUGAUAUACAUAGGCAUAUCUGUGGUCAGUAGCGAGGUCGAGUAGAAGGAAUAUACAGUCUUUUGAGAUCAGUGUGUUCAGCUUUCCUUUCCAUUACCCAUCACCUAAGUCCUGUGCAUUCAUGUUGUCUGAGUUGUCUGAGGUCUUUUGGAAAAUUCCUAGUGCAGUUCAGAGAAUUAACAGCCUAAAAAAAGGAUGUAGGAGGAAAGCAACAACCAAGAAAAAUCCCAACAGCAUCAACUUGAGGCAAGGGCAGCUCAUGAUAGAAGUGGACAGUAUCACAGUGUGAGUGAAGGUCAGCGUAGGAGCAGCUGCUGAUGGGAGGAAGGAAGUCCAGGCUCAUGGACUCUGGAGCAUCUCCCAGUACAGUACCAGAGGAGGCAGGAAUGAUGUUGCAGAAGAACAUGAGAAGCUCCCCAGCAGGAAGCCACAAACUCUGCAGAAAGCUACAGGAGAGGUGGAACAUGUGUGGAUGCCCAGGAGGAAGUCCAGCCCCAGUAUUUGAGCAGUGCCUGGCCAUGGAGAACUGCGGCCCAAGAACAGAGCUAUUCUGCCUUUGCCAAGAAGGACUUGUCUGUCCUUGUAAAAAGCAGAAAGCUGGCUCAUCCAAAUGCUUGCUGAUUGCUUGGGAGCUCAAAUCCUUCUGGCCUCCAACCUGGAGGCAGGCUGGGGGCAAUGUCUCCUUGGUCUGAUCCUGCGGUGCCUGAGCGAGAGCUGGCUGCGUGAGAAUGAUCUUAAUUUCUUUGU